This 208-nucleotide ribosomal RNA is filed under the name uncultured bacterium. Its description in RNAcentral is "partial 16S ribosomal RNA". It matches the Rfam family "Bacterial small subunit ribosomal RNA", at positions 568 to 774 of the family's 1533-position model. The record is from RNAcentral.
CACGUAGGCGGACUCUUAAGUCGGGGGUGAAAUCCUGGAGCUCAACUCCAGAACUGCCUUCGAUACUGAGAGUCUUCGAGUUCGGGAGAGGUGAGUGGAACUGCGAGUGUAGAGGUGAAAUUCGUAGAUAUUCGCAAGAACACCAGUGGCGAAGGCGGCUCACUGGCCCGAUACUGACGCUGAGGUGCGAAAGCGUGGGGAGCAAACA